UUGAUUGCUUCUUGUUUCCUCGGGGUUUUGGCUUUGUCUGUGACCGCCUCCCUCGUCUUCGCAGAUUACGAGAGAAAUCUACACUAAAAAUAAUAAUCAAAUAAUCAAUAAUUACGUGCGGUAUUUACAAAUAUCACAGGUCAACUAUAAUAUAUUUGUAUAACCGGAUAUAGGAGUACUCCGAUGAUCGAAUUUAAAGGAGUUGGCGAUUAAAUGAAUUUUAGCUAAAAACAUGAAAUUAAAGAAUCCAAACAAUUACUCGCUAUAUACUAUAGUACGAUAAUCCAUUCAACAGUUUUAAUUAUACUAAUUACUUAACUAGAAUUCGCAAAUGACUAAAUUGUAAAGAAAAAGAUUACACAACUAUCAAAUACGAGCAAAGACGAUAACAAAGAGCGAUCAAUUGAAUUCCGAAUUAGGGAUCUAAAUUAUUAUUACUCCUAAAUUGACUCCAUUUUACAUCUCGACCUUAACUUUACCAAAUUAGACAAAUUAGUUCGAUUAAUCUCUCGACCUCACCGACUAACCCAGGACUUAUUAAAUUGGUGCCCAAUAAGAUCUCCUCUCAGUCUCACUUAUCUUGAUUUUCCUUUAGGGGAGUCAAUCCUAAGUUUUUAAGUCUAUUUGAUUUAGCCCAUUUUUGCAAUUUAGUUCCCGAACCCAGAAAUCAUUUACCCAACAUUUCCAUCAACCAACCCCUAAAUAUUUAGGUACUCAUACUCAUAUUAAAACCCAUAAUCAGCAAGAAAUCAACAAGAAAAUUAAUAAAAACUCCCAACUUUCUUGCAAAAGCUUGGAUACAACAACAAUGGCACCAAGAAAAGUAAACAAAAGCUCAACACAAGAGUAUACAAUAAGGAACUUGUGUCAGGCCGUGUGUUAGGCUGUGUAACUCACUGACUUGUAGCUUAAGGAACUUAUCAAAUAACACACGAGGUCACUGGGCAGAGCAGUUAGAUGAAUUGCUUUCAAAAAGAGUAUACAAUAAGGAGUUUUCAAUCAUGGUACUUCUUGUGAACUGACUUUGUGACUUAGUAAUUCUGAAUUAUCAUAACAAUACUUUUGGAUAUAAUUGCAAUCACUAGAACCUAAUUGUAUAUGUUUGAUUGGUUCAUCCGUUAGCUCAACAAAAGCUUGAUCGGACUGCAUUUGAAUCAAAGAAAAUUUUACGACUUUGGGAAUAAUUUAAUUGAGUUGAUUUAUUCGAUGUGGAAUUAAAUUAGGUAGUCGUAAUCGUAAGAAUUGUUCAACUAGAUAAUUUGAUUAAAGAAUUUUCUUGAAAAAUUAAUUUAAAAAAAUUAAGUGAUUUUUGGAAAAUUUUGAUAAAGUAAAAUUAAAUUAAUCAAAUCAAUUACAAUUAAUAUGAUAUUUUUAGAAGUUAAUUUUCAAGUCAAACAAUUGGCCCAAUGGGUAAUUAAACUUGAUAAUUGGAGUUGAGAUCGUAAAUUGGGCCUAAGAGCCCAAAACCGAGACCAAGACCCAAAAAUUGGUCGAACCGGGCCUGGUAUGCGAAACAGGACCGACGAUCCAACCGAUGGCUAAACUGGACCAGUCGGGUCGUCAUUGACUCGGAUUGAACUGGCAGCAGUUAAACCGACUCAAGGUGUCGUAAGGGUGUCGAAUCUGCAUCUGGACACGGCGACACCAGUGGCCGGCGGCAGUUGGUAAUCGGUGGUUGAGCAGUGGAAGAGUUACACUCGUAUUGGGACUCUACCAGAGAAUUUGAUUUCAGAUUAAUUCUUCCAAAAAGUAAUAUUAUUUUAAUAGUUUAAUAUUAAAUUUAAUAUAAUACUUAUCUUAAUAGUACUUUAUUAAUUUAAUAUUAAAGUGAUUAUCUUAAUAUUAAAUUUAAUUUAAUGUUUAUCUACAAGAUAAACAUUCUAUAAGAUUUAAUAGUAUUUUAUUAAUUUAAUAUUAAAGUGAUUAUCUUAAUAUUUAAUUUAAUUUAAUGUUUAUCUACAAGAUAAACAUUCUAUUAUUUUAAUAAGAUUUAAUAUUAAAUUAAUAUAAUAUUUAUUUAUAUUAAUUUAAUAUUAAGGUGAUUAAGUUUAAUCACAGUUAUUAAGGUGAUUAAGUUUAAUCACAGUUAAACUCUCUAAACUCUCCCUAUAUAAAGAAAGCCUUGGGUUAUUAUUUUCGCACACUUGAAUUUGAAUUUUAAGAGAAAGUUGUAGGGAGAAAAUUUUCUGAAGAGAUUAUUCCAGAAAAUUUCUAGAGAUUUUUUUGAUUUACAACUUAAUUCAAAAGUUUAGAGAAAUUGCAAAAUUACACCACUGAUAAUUUUUGUGAAAAAUUUUUUAAUUCGAAGCGAGCCCACACUCGGCAAACGUGAGCUUGAGGAUAGAGAAAAAGACUACUUGGGCAAAGUGCUCAUCCUAAACGAAUCAAAAAGGUACAACUUUGAUUAAGUGUUUAUUACUGUAGAUGUCACAACCAAGAUCUUGUUUUGAAAAAAUUUUUAACUCUAGUUUUUCCCUAAAUUUAUUUUUCGCUGUGUUUUCUAAACUCAUUUUCCAACACCAAUAGCAUUGAAAUAAUUAAAUACAUAAUAUCAUAAAUCAAGUAUAUCAAGGGUAAAAAGAGAGAUACUCUUACAGACUAAGAUUGAGCAAUGUUGGAUUUCAUUGUAUCUCGUGUGGUGUUCUAGGGAUGUAAAAUUUAGAAAUCCCUGAAGUCUUGCCUCUAACGGCAUUGUAUAGGUAUGCCCUCGCUGGUCGCGCCUAUUAUCUCUAAGUGGUUGAUACUUUUCUUCGACCAGUCUAUUUGGCGGACUGGGUAUACUAACAGUUUUAGUACUGAUGUCUGGUGUUGAUACAGGCUCUUCACUUAAUUGGUGUGACGAUUGCUAUCGAGCACGUGUGGUGGCUACCCUUGUUUGGCACAUAGGAGGUUGCUUGUGUUGAUUCAAAGGUUUUGCGCCAUGAUAAUCAAAGGUGCUAGUUCCGUCUGAAUGUCCUGUUGGAUAUGUUAGCAAUGAAAAAAUCGGUUGGAGAUUCGAGACGUCGUACCUUACCCCGUCGGAAGUAUCUGAACUAAUUUGUAGAUUUUCUACCUCAUCCAGUGUUGAGCUCCUUCAACAGCGGUGUUGACUUGGUCCAACAGCUUGUAUCGGUGGUGGUGGAGACGAUUUUAAAUCUUCGUCAUUAAUGUUGAUAACAGGUGGUGCUAAAAAUCGUUUGCGACCUCGAUUACGAGAAACUGAGAAACCGUCGAUUGCUUGAUUUCUAGUACGAACCAUGGUCGGUGUUUGGGUUGAGAAGCAAAUGAUGGCAUUUGUUACGGCGAUUCACGGUGCCUUUUUAGGAUUUCGAGGAGCGACGUUUUUAGUGUUUUGGGCAGUGUUGGCGUUUAGGUUUUGGAGCAGUGUAGCGACAUUUGAAGUGUGAUGGUGUGGGUUAAAGGGCGGAGCUGUUUAUGGUAGUAGGUGUGGUGGUUGGGUGUUUUGAGGAUGUGGGAUGGUGGUGUUUGGGUUUGAAGCAGUGGCGGUUCUUAUAGGAAAAGGUGUGGCGACGGUUAGGUAGGAGAAGGAGAGGUGAACGAUGGUGUUUGGUGGCAGUUCUUUGAAGGACGAAUGUGACUAUUCCAUAUUUCGGAGAGAUAAUAAAUACCGUGUUGUAAGAUUUUAGUGCGGAUUCAUUUAUCACGAUUCUCGACCGGAGCGAUGACAGGACCAAAGCUAAAUGGGGUUUAGUUGAGCAUGAAAUUUAUCAUGCUUUGUUGGAUGAUGAGAACGACUUUAAAUGUAAUAGUGAUUGGUGAAAAGGAGAGGGGACUUAAAGAACAAUUGCACCAAAAUAAGGGAACAAAAAAAAUGGCAGUAAGCUUGAUAAGCUACAGACACGUGAAAAGGGAAAAGAAAAAAAUUGUUUUCA
RNAcentral lists this long non-coding RNA (3872 nucleotides) under Gossypium barbadense (sea-island cotton). RNAcentral describes it as "long non-coding RNA (GBAR_LNC020788)". Lineage: Eukaryota; Viridiplantae; Streptophyta; Magnoliopsida; Malvales; Malvaceae. The record is from RNAcentral.